Molecule: ribosomal RNA, 497 nt
Filed under: uncultured bacterium
Lineage: Bacteria
Description: partial 16S ribosomal RNA
Rfam family: Bacterial small subunit ribosomal RNA
Source: RNAcentral
GAUGAACGCUGGCGGCGUGCCUAAUACAUGCAAGUCGAGCGAACAGACGAGGAGCUUGCUCCUCUGACGUUAGCGGCGGACGGGUGAGUAACACGUGGAUAACCUACCUAUAAGACUGGGAUAACUACGGGAAACCGGAGCUAAUACCGGAUAACAUGUUGAACCGCAUGGUUCAACAGUGAAAGACGGUCUUGCUGUCACUUAUAGAUGGAUCCGCGCCGCAUUAGCUAGUUGGUAAGGUAACGGCUUACCAAGGCAACGAUGCGUAGCCGACCUGAGAGGGUGAUCGGCCACACUGGAACUGAGACACGGUCCAGACUCCUACGGGAGGCAGCAGUAGGGAAUCUUCCGCAAUGGGCGAAAGCCUGACGGAGCAACGCCGCGUGAGUGAAGAAGGUCUUCGGAUCGUAAAACUCUGUUAUUAGGGAAGAACAAAUGUGUAAGUAACUAUGCACGUCUUGACGGUACCUAAUCAGAAAGCCACGGCUAACUACGUG